CCUACGGGAGGCAGCAGUAGGGAAUAUUGCUCAAUGGGCGUAACCCUGAAGCAGCAACGCCGCGUGGAGGAUGAAGGUUUUCGGAGUGUAAACUCCUUUUGUUAGAGAAGAUAAUGACGGUAUCUAACGAAUAAGCACCGGCUAACUCCGUGCCAGCAGCCGCUGUAAUCAGGAGGGUGCCAGCGUUACUCGGAAUCACUGGGCGUAAAUAGGGCGUAGGCGGGAUAGCAAGUCAGAUGUUAAAUCCUCGGGCUUAACCAUAGAACUGCAUUUGAAACUGUUAUUCUAGAGUAUGGGAGAGGUAGGUGGAAUUCGUGGUGUAGGGGUAAAAUCCGUAGAGAUCAAGAGGAAUACUCAUUGCGAAGGCGACCUGCCAGAACACAACUGACGCUGAUGCGCGAAAGCGUGGGGAGCAAACAGGAUUAGAUACCCGAGUAGUC
This 440-nucleotide ribosomal RNA is filed under the name uncultured bacterium. RNAcentral describes it as "partial 16S ribosomal RNA". It matches the Rfam family "Bacterial small subunit ribosomal RNA", at positions 338 to 795 of the family's 1533-position model. The record is from RNAcentral.